RNAcentral lists this ribosomal RNA (2987 nucleotides) under Elliptochloris bilobata. RNAcentral's name for it is "LSU rRNA". It matches the Rfam family "Bacterial large subunit ribosomal RNA". Lineage: Eukaryota; Viridiplantae; Chlorophyta; Trebouxiophyceae. The record is from RNAcentral.
GUCAAACGAUGUAAGGAUGACGGCGGAUACCUAGGCACCCAGAGACGAUGAAGGGCGUGGCAACCGACGAAAUGCUUCGAGGAGCUGGUAACAAGCGUUGAUUCGGAGAUUCCCCAAUGGGACAACCUCAUGGACUCUCCUUUGAAUUCAUAGAAGGAAGAGAGAGAACCCGGUGAAUUGAAACAUCUUAGUAGCCGGAGGAGAAGAAAGCAACAGCGAUUCCCUUAGUAGCGGCGAGCGAAGCGGGAACAGCCUAAACCGACCUCCCGUCGUGGAGGUCGGGGUAGUGGGAAGAGGACGGUCAUGGUUUCCCAUGAAUGACGGAUCGAUCCACGAAAGUGGAUAGGAUUCAACUCGUGUAAGAGAAGCAGCUGAAUCCUGCACCAUAGAUGGUGAAAGUCCAGUAUCUGAAAGAUGAGUGGCAUGGGAACAAUGAAACAAAAAACCGGACCUUUAUCCCGAGUAGCAUGGGGCACGUGAAAUCCCGUGUGAAUCGGCGAGGACCACCUCGUAAGGCUAAAUACUCCUGGGUGACCGAUAGUGAAGAAGUACCGCGAGGGAAAGGUGAAAAAGAACCCCAUACAGGGGAGUGAAAAAGAACAUGAAACCGUCAUCCGACAAGCGGUGGGAGGAUGAAAAAUCUGACCGUGUGCCUGUGGAAGAAUGAGCCGGCGACUUAUAGGAGGUGGCAAGGUUAAGGAGAGUCUCCGAAGCCGGAGCGAAGGCGAGUCUGAAUAGGGCAUCGACAGGGUCACCUCCUAUGGACCCGAACCCGGGUGAUCUAACCAUGGCCAGGAUGAAGCUUGGGUAACACCAAGUGGAAGUCCGAACUCAUCGAUGUUGAAAAAUCGUGGGAUGAGUUGUGGUUAGGGGUGAAAUGCCAAUCGAACUCGGAGCUAGCUGGUUCUCCCCGAAAUGCGUUGAGGCGCAGCGCGCAACGAAAAGGUGGACUGUCUAGGGGUAAAGCACUGUUUCGGUGCGGGCUGCGAGAGCGGUACCAAAUCGUGGCAAACUAAGAAUACUAGGCAUGAAUUUCCGUUGCGCAGUGAGACGGUGGGGGAUAAGCUCCAUCGUCAAGAGGGAAACAGCCCAGAUCACCGGCUAAGGCCCCAAAAUGACCGCCAAGUGGAAAAGGAUGUGACAAUGCUGAAACAGCCAGGAGGUUUGCUUAGAAGCAGCCACCCUUUAAAGAGUGCGUAAUAGCUCACUGGUAGAGCGUUGUUGCGCCGAAAAUGGACGGGACUAAGCGGUCUGCCGAAGCUGUGGGACAUCGAAUCGAUGUCGGUAGGGGAGCGUUCCGCCCUGGGUGAAGCAUCAACGUCAGUUGGUGUGGACAGAGCGGAAGUGAGAAUGUCGGCUUGAGUAACGCAAACAUUGGUGAGAAUCCAAUGCCCCGACAACCUAAGGGUUCCUUCCGUAGGCUCGUCCAGGGAGGGUGAGUCAGGACCUAAGAUCAGGCCGAAAGGCGUCGUCGAUGGAAAACAGGUUAAUAUUCCUGUACUUAUGUUCGGUCGGUACCGAGGGACGAAGAAGGCGAUGGGUGGCCAACAUUGGGUGGAGGCGAAAGCGUUCAAGGCGUUGAAGGAUGGAAGAAAAACCAUUUGGAGCCGAGACGUGAUACGACGUUGUUUUGGCUACCACCGGAGGGUGAUAGUCGAAGCAGUGUUCACCUUUCCUCGUCAAGCUUCCUAGAAAAGCUCGCACUACCAUAUCAUCGAACGUAACCUGUACCCGACACCGACACAGGUAGGUGGGUAGAGUAUACCAAGGGGCGCGAGAGAACUCUCUCCAAGGAACUCGGCAAAAUGGCCCCGUAACUUCGGGAGAAGGGGUACCCUCGAAAGAGGGUCGCAGUGACCAGGCCCAGGCGACUGUUUACCAAAAACACAGGUCUCCGCUAAGUCGUAAGACGAUCCAUGGGGGCUGACGCCUGCCCGGUGCCGGAAGGUGAAGGAAGUUGGUUAUUCUCUGAAGAAGCUGACAACCGAAGCCCCGGUGAACGGCGGCCGUAACUAUAACGGUCCUAAGGUAGCGAAAUUCCUUGUCGGGUAAGUUCCGACCCGCACGAAAGGCGUAACGAUCUGGGCACUGUCUCGGAGAGAGACUCGGUGAAAUAGACAUGUCCGUGAAGAUGCGGACUCCCUACACCUGGACAGAAAGACCCUAUGAAGCUUUACUGUAGCCUGGAGUUGGGUUUGGGCCCCUUUUGCGCAGUCUAGGUGGGAGGCGUCGAAGAUCUUCUUCCGGGAAGAUUGGAGCCAUCAGUGAGAGACCACUCUUGAGGGGCUAGAAUUCUAAUGGCGCUCCUUGAAUCAGGACGCUUGACAGUUUCAGGUGGGCAGUUUGACUGGGGCGGUCACCUCCUAAAAGGUAACGGAGGUGUGCAAAGGUUCCCUCAGGCUGGACGGAAAUCAGCCGAUGAGUGUAAAGGCAGAAGGGAGCUUGACUGCAAGACCUACAAGUCGAGCAGGGGCGAAAGCCGGCCUUAGUGAUCCGACGGUACCGAGUGGAAGGGCCGUCGCUCAACGGAUAAAAGUUACUCUAGGGAUAACAGGCUGAUCUUCCCCAAGAGUUCACAUCGACGGGAAGGUUUGGCACCUCGAUGUCGGCUCAUCGCAUCCUGGGGCGGUAGUACGUCCCAAGGGUUGGGCUGUUCGCCCAUGAAAGCGGUACGUGAGCUGGGUUCAGAACGUCGUGAGACAGUUCGGUCCAUAUCCGGUGUAGGCGGUAGAGCAUUGAGAGGAGCCUUCCAUAGUACGAGAGGACCUGGAAGGACACACCACUGGUAUACCAGUUCUUCUGCCAAGGGGACACGCUGGGUAGCUAUGUGUGGAGCGGAUAACUGCUGAAAGCAUCUAAGUAGGAAGCCCACCUCAAGAUGAGUGCUCUCAAUAAGGUCACGGCAAGAGAAGCCGUUCGAUAGGUGUUCAGUGUAAAGCCAGCGAUGGCAGUAGCUAAGACAUACUAAUAGACCAAGCGAGUUUGAC